Molecule: long non-coding RNA, 3509 nt
Organism: Equus caballus (horse)
Lineage: Eukaryota; Metazoa; Chordata; Mammalia; Perissodactyla; Equidae
Source: Ensembl
UGUGUCCAGUGCUAGGCUAGUUGGGUGGUGAGAUUUUGAGUGGUUCUGCCUCCUACAAUCUCUUUUUUCCUGUCCAUUUUCAGAGCCUGGUCCUCCAGAAUUCUUGGCAAUUAUUAAAGUAACCCAGUAUCUUUUCAGUGAAUUCCCUUUGUGCUUACAUCGACCAGAGCCAACUUCUGUUUCCCACACUUAAGAACUCUGUCUAGUACUGUGCAAGUAUAGUGCUAGCUCUUAUUAUUAAUCUCCCAUUUCUGCCUUUGUUUGAACUGGCACUUAUCUUCCGGAACUUGUUUCAUUACUGAAAUAAAUAGCACCUAACAGUCUGUCUGCCCCAAGAAGCCUCUCCUGACUAAUUGGGAAAUGCCAGUUCCUCCUCGUAUCUUCCCUUCUUUGUGUGGCAGCAUCUUCUCAGCCUCGCUUGUCACUGUCUUCCACCAUACUCAGAGCAACAGCAAAACAACUGCCAUUGUUCUCACAUCUUCAGUCACGUCUGUGAAGAGCCACGAUGCCUUGUGUGGGGUGUGCAAUUUACGGACCUUGAAGAGGAGGCUACGUUUCAUGUGCGGGUCAAUGCAGCCAAGACCUGUGAGACAAUCCAAGAACAGACGAGGAGAGAGGCGACUUCGAGCACUUCAACUCUCUCACAGCAACCCUCAGCAGCCCUCUGGGCUUUUUCCGGGUGCUGAUCCCAAGUGCACACUGGUAAAUGUCCUGCAGGUUCUCCAGGUCAGAGCUGGCUUCCUGGAGAACUCAACCGUGGAAAAGCCAAUCUAAGAGCUCACCCCCGGAGGAGCGCCUGGGAGGGGCACACUCCACUCAGCAUACUUUGCCUCUGGAAACGAUCACUCACCCUUUAGGCCAGGGGGUCUGAGAACUUCAGCUGUGUGUCUGUGUGUGUGUGAGACAGAGGCAGAGAGUGGUGUGGAUCAGGGUGUACUCAUGUAUAUAUUUAUUUUACUUUCUGCUCUAACAAGGCGGUCAUCACCAGAUGUUUGAAACAAAAUACUCACGAAAGAGAACAAACACUUCAGUGUUCUGACUUUCCAAUAACAACGGGGAGUAGAGGAAGAGGGAUGGAAUGUUUCUGUCUCUGAGAAUUUGUAAAGCUUUCAGAGUACGUGUAGAAGUGGACUACACUUCCAUAAAAUGAAAUGCAGCAUACCCAAACUCACAAAAUGGAAAAAAUGAGGGCCAUGGUUUCUAAUUCUGAUUUAAAGAACCCCAUCAUUCAUUCAUUCAUGUAUUUCUCAAAUAUUUAUUGAUUGGAAGGAUUCAUUUUUCUAUCCCUCUCCAGCUUUACUGAGAUAUAAUUGACAUAUAGCAUUGUGUAAGGUAAGGUGUAUAAUGUGAUGAUUUGAUGCAUGUAUUUACUGAGAAAUGAUUACCACAGUGAGGAUAGUUAACACCUCCAUCACUUCACAUAGUACUUUGUUUUUUUAUGGUGAAAACAUUUAAGUUUUCUUAAAUGUUUUUUAUUUAACUCUCUAAAAAUUUAACUCUCUAAAAUACAAAAUAUAUUUAUUUAACUUUCUAAAAAUGUGGAACGCUUCACAAACGUGCACAUCAUCCUUGCGCAGGGGCCAUGUUAAUCUUCUCUGUAUCGUUCCAGUUUUAGCAUGUGUGCUGCUGAAGUGAGCACUAGGAAAUAUUUAUUGAGAAUCUAUUAGGUACCGGGUAUCAGGUUAGGUUCUGAGGAACCUUGAUGGGCUCACAUUUUAAUGAGGGGAUGGGGCCAGGGAGAGCAAUGGGCAAACAAAUAAUUACAGCAAAAGUCAAGCAGUUUGACGACAUCCUUGUUGGUGAAGCUGUGGGGAAACAGGCACUCUCAUCGACUGCUGGUGAGAGUAGAAGUCAGGGGAGGUACAUUUGCUGGUAUUUAUCAAAAUUGCAAAUGCGCACACCUGUGGACCCAGCAACUCCACCUUAGCGAGUCUAUCCUAAGGAAAUAAUGGUGCAAAAUAUCAUAAACACAAGAUUGUUCAUUGCAGCAUUAUUUGUAAUGAAAAAGAUUGGAAGGAACCAAAAUGCUCCCAAAUUAUGGUACAGCAUGUGAUGGAAUACCAUGGAGCUGUCAAAAAGAACGAAGCUUGAUACAGAAAGAUCUACAAAAUAUGUUAAGGCAAAGAUGUAGACCAGUGUAAAAGCAUUCGUGUACAAAAGAGGGGAGAAAAGAAUAUAGUUAUGUAUACAUGCAUAGAAUAUCUCAGAAAGGAUGCUUAAGGAAUUAAUAUUAGUUGCCUCUGGGGAGGGGAGCUAGGUCUCCAUAGGAUAGGAUUAUAUAUUCUUCUUACCUUUCAAAUGAUCAAUCAUAUGAACAUAUUACCUUUUCAAAAAAUAAAUAAAAAUUUCAACUUUUAAAAAAGAAAUAAUUAUAUUAAAUGAGUGAAGUAGUAAUGGAGGUGCACGAAAAGUACUAUUGGGGUGCUGAGUAGAUUUGUGUGUGAACUGUAAGACAUCUGAUGGGAGAGUUGGUAUUAGACUAGACAUCCUUUCACAUCCUUAGAAUCCUGUGUGUCUAUGAAAAUAAGGGGUUGCCUUAGACAAUGCCUGGGUUCCUUUCAAAUGCCAGAAUUCUGUGAUUCAGUGAUUUUAGAAACUGAAGGAGAAUUGGGUGCAGAGGUUUGUGUAUAUGUGUGUGGGAAGGGAAAGCUUUAAAAAUGACAUGCUGGGGGUGCUCCCAAUCAUUGUCCCAACCACAAGUUUGUUUAUGCAUGUCUUCAUCAUGCGAAGGGACGCAGGCCUGCCUCGGUGUGCUGAUGGGUGUGGUGGCAGCCUUCGAGCAGCUCAGGUGUUACUCUGCCUCUUUAAAUCAAACCAAGGCAAGUCAAUUUAGGACCAGAAGUGGGAGGUUUCUGAAUAAUUAAAGGUUUUCGCUUGGUUUUCUUGAUCUAUACGUUUCUAUGAACACACCAGUUGUUUUGUUAGCCUCCUGCUGUGGGAGAGAUGCAACUUUGUGACUUUGGCAAUUGUUGAAGAGGUUUGAAGGAAAAAACUUACAGAUUUAUUAGAUGAUUUAUCUCCGUUUUUAAUAAAACAGGGGAGAAAUGUUACGAGCCAAGGAGCGGCACUGGGAAAAACAAGCCAAGGCCAGGGACAAAAAUAACCCACAGAAAAGAUGCUUGCCUGCAGCAAACAGGAUGCCACGGAGGAGCUUCUCCCAGCUGGCUGUUGCCCUUUCAGCUUGGGCCUCAGAGUGAGCACGUAUGGAGCAGACCUGAGUCCAAUCUGCAGCAAGGAGACAAGCCCAGCUGGACUGCAAUAUGAUGCAAAGCUGCCCAGGAAGAUCAGCCCUGAGCUAACAUCUGUGCCCAUCUUCCUCUACUUUAUAUGUGGGAUGCCUGCCACAGCACGGCUUGACAAGCAGUGCGUACGUCUGCACCCAAGAUCCAAACUGGCGAACCCCGGGCUGCUGAAGCAGAACGUGCGAACUUAACCGCUGCGCCACCAGGCCGCCCCCGAUGCUUUUACCAUGUUAUUCAUUAGCAUCUUUCUGGCUGGCUUAUAUCUGG